Molecule: ribosomal RNA, 447 nt
Filed under: uncultured bacterium
Lineage: Bacteria
Description: bacterial SSU rRNA
Rfam family: Bacterial small subunit ribosomal RNA
Source: RNAcentral
UCCAGACUCCUACGGGAGGCAGCAGUGGGGAAUAUUGCACAAUGGGGGAAACCCUGAUGCAGCGACGCCGCGUGAGUGAAGAAGUAUUUCGGUAUGUAAAGCUCUAUCAGCAGGGAAGAAAAUGACGGUACCUGACUAAGAAGCCCCGGCUAACUACGUGCCAGCAGCCGCGGUAAUACGUAGGGGGCAAGCGUUAUCCGGAUUUACUGGGUGUAAAGGGAGCGUAGGUGGCAUGGUAAGCCAGAAGUGAAAACCCGGGGCUCAACCCCGCGGAUUGCUUUUGGAACUAUCAGGCUGGAGUGCUGGAGGGGUAAGCGGAAUUCCUAGUGUAGCGGUGAAAUGCGUAGAUAUUAGGAGGAACACCGGUGGCGAAGGCGGCUUACUGGACAGAAACUGACACUGAGGCUCGAAAGCGUGGGGAGCAAACAGGAUUAGAUACCCCUGUAA